GAUGAAGAACGUAGCGAAAUGUGAUACUUGGUGUGAAUUGCAGAAUCCCGUGAACCAUCGAGUCUUUGAACGCAAGUUGCGCCCGAAGCCAUUAGGCCGAGGGCACGCCUGCCUGGGCGUCACACGUCGUUGCCCCCCCAUCUACUCCUUCGGGAUUGCGGGGGGCGGAUGAUGGCCUCUCGUGCGCCUCGUCGCGCGGUUGGCCUAAAUGCCAAGUCCUCGGCGACGCACGCCACGACAAUCGGUGGUUGCGAAACCUCGGUUGCCUGUCGUGUGCGGUCGUCGCGCAUCGAGGGCUCGAAAAAAUUGCCGGGCUUCGGCUCGACUUUCAACGCGACCCCAGGUCAGGCGGGGUUACCCGCUGAAUUUAAGCAUAUCAAUAAGCGGAGGA
RNAcentral lists this unclassified non-coding RNA (391 nucleotides) under soil metagenome. RNAcentral describes it as "partial contains 5.8S ribosomal RNA, internal transcribed spacer 2, and large subunit ribosomal RNA". The stretch from base 1 to 122 matches the Rfam family "5.8S ribosomal RNA", at positions 35 to 154 of the family's 154-position model. The record is from RNAcentral.